RNAcentral lists this ribosomal RNA (301 nucleotides) under uncultured bacterium. RNAcentral describes it as "partial 16S ribosomal RNA". It matches the Rfam family "Bacterial small subunit ribosomal RNA", at positions 509 to 807 of the family's 1533-position model. The record is from RNAcentral.
CAGUCGCCGCGGGAAUACGUAGGGUGCGAGCGUUAAUCGGAAUUACUGGGCGUAAAGCGUGCGCAGGCGGUUAUAUAAGACAGAUGUGAAAUCCCCGGGCUCAACCUGGGGGCUGCGUUUGAUACUUGAUUGCUAGAGUGGGGAAGAGGGUCGUGGAAUUCCCAGUGUAGAGGUGAAAUUCGUAGAUAUUGGGAAGAACACCGGUGGCGAAAGCGGCGACCUGGUCCUUGACUGACGCUGAGGCGCGAAAGCGUGGGGAGCAAACAGGAUUAGAUACCCCCGUAGUCCCUGUCUCUUAUAC